UACGAAGGGGGCUAGCGUUGCUCGGAAUCACUGGGCGUAAAGCGCACGUAGGCGGACUCUUAAGUCGGUGGUGAAAUCCUGGAGCUCAACUCCAGAACUGCCUUCGAUACUGAGAGUCUUGAGUCCGGGGAGAGGUGAGUGGAACUGCGAGUGUAGAGGUGAAAUUCGUAGAUAUUCGCAAGAACACCAGUGGCGAAGGCGGCUCAACUGGCCCGGGUACUGCG
RNAcentral lists this ribosomal RNA (224 nucleotides) under uncultured bacterium. Its description in RNAcentral is "partial 16S ribosomal RNA". It matches the Rfam family "Bacterial small subunit ribosomal RNA", at positions 524 to 744 of the family's 1533-position model. The record is from RNAcentral.